CAAUAGCGUAUAUUAAAGUUGUUGCAGUUAAAAAGCUCGUAGUUGGAUUUCUGAUCGAGACAUCAGGUCGGGUCCGAGAGGAUCAUGUACUUUGAUUUUGUUUUGAUCAUCCUUGGGGAGAGCAUUUCUGGCAUUCAGUUGUCGGGAUUGGGAUCCUCAUCGUUUACUGUGAAAAAAUUAGAGUGUUCAAAGCAGGCCUCGGCCUCUGAAUACAUUAGCAUGGAAUAAUAAGAUAGGACUUUGGUGGUCUAUUUUGUUGGUUUGCACGCCAAAGUAAUGAUUAAUAGGGAUAGUUGGGGGUAUUCGUAUUCAAUUGUCAGAGGUGAGAUUCUUGGAUUUAUGGAAGACGAACUACUGCGAAAGCAUUUACCAAGGAUGUUUUCAUUAA
Molecule: ribosomal RNA, 388 nt
Filed under: uncultured eukaryote
Lineage: Eukaryota
Description: partial 18S ribosomal RNA
Rfam family: Eukaryotic small subunit ribosomal RNA
Source: RNAcentral